CAAAGGGUAGUUUAUAUAGAAUAACAAUUUUGGGGAUUGGAGGAUGGUUCUUUGU
This 55-nucleotide transfer RNA is filed under the name Linguatula serrata. RNAcentral's name for it is "tRNA-Pro". RNAcentral also lists the same sequence under 1 other name. The record is from RNAcentral. Lineage: Eukaryota; Metazoa; Arthropoda; Ichthyostraca; Porocephalida; Linguatulidae.